This 252-nucleotide ribosomal RNA is filed under the name uncultured bacterium. RNAcentral describes it as "partial 16S ribosomal RNA". It matches the Rfam family "Bacterial small subunit ribosomal RNA", at positions 524 to 776 of the family's 1533-position model. The record is from RNAcentral.
UACGUAGGUGGCAAGCGUUGUCCGGAAUUAUUGGGCGUAAAGCGCGCGCAGGCGGCCGCGUAAGUCUGAUGUGAAAGCCCGGGGCUCAACCCCGGCGUGCAUUGGAAACUGCGUGGCUUGAGUGCAGGAGAGGAAAGCGGAAUUCCACGUGGAGCGGUGAAAUGCGUAGAGAUGUGGAGGAACACCAGUGGCGAAGGCGGCUUUCUGGCCUGUAACUGACGCUGAGGCGCGAAAGCGUGGGGAGCAAACAGG